This 809-nucleotide ribosomal RNA is filed under the name Candidatus Nomurabacteria bacterium. RNAcentral describes it as "partial 23S ribosomal RNA". It matches the Rfam family "Bacterial large subunit ribosomal RNA", at positions 2494 to 2913 of the family's 2925-position model. The record is from RNAcentral. Lineage: Bacteria; Candidatus Nomuraibacteriota.
AAGAGUUCAUAUCGACGGCGGAGUUCGGCACCUCGAUGUCGGCUCACCUUAUCCUGGUGGUGGAGAAGCUGCCAAGGGUUUAGCUGUUCGCUAAUUAAAAAGGUACGCGAGCUGGGUUCAAACCGUUGAGACCGUAAUUAAAAAUUACCAAUUACCAAUUACCAAUGAAAAUGCAUUUGCAUCAAAUUAGUAAUCAGUAAUUAGUAAUCAGUAAUUAUUAUUUCGACAGUUUGAACCGUCGAGGAAAGUAAAGAAAUAAACGAUAUUUCUUUCAAUGUUUUAAUCUGAGAAAAAACCGUGUGUACUGUGGUACACUCACGGCGGCAUACAAUUAAUUGUAUGAGAAUUUCACUUAUAUCGGUGAAGUCCCAAGUGGAUAAUACCGAGGGAAGUCGCAAGACACCCGUAGAGACUAAAUGUGAAAUAGCCAAAUUUAUUUGGUGAAAGUUAUAGUCCAAUCCCAUAAGUAAUUGUGGUUCGAUCAUUAUUAUUGAAACGCGAUAAUGAGAGAAGUAAAAUAUAGAUGCGUGAGACAGGUUGGUCUCCUAUCUACUGCAGGCGUUGAUUCUUGAGAAGAUUUGCUCCUAGUACGAGAGGACCGGAGUGAACUGACCUCUGGUGUGUGGGCUCUACUGCCAAGUGGACUGCCCAGUAGCUAUGUCGGGAAUGGAUAACCUCUGAAAGCAUCUAAGAGGGAAGCCAGCUUCAAGAUGAGGAAUCGUUUGAGAAACCUGAGAGAUGAUCAGGUUGAUAGGCACUAGGUGUACAGACAGUAAUGUCUUUAGCCGAGGUGUACUAAUCGUUCGAUU